This 254-nucleotide ribosomal RNA is filed under the name uncultured bacterium. RNAcentral's name for it is "partial 16S ribosomal RNA". It matches the Rfam family "Bacterial small subunit ribosomal RNA", at positions 524 to 776 of the family's 1533-position model. The record is from RNAcentral.
UACGGAGGGGGCUAGCGUUGUUCGGAAUUACUGGGCGUAAAGCGCACGUAGGCGGCUUUGCAAGUUAGAGGUGAAAGCCCGGGGCUCAACUCCGGAAUUGCCUUUAAAACUGCAUCGCUAGAAUUGUGGAGAGGUAAGUGGAAUUCCGAGUGUAGAGGUGAAAUUCGUAGAUAUUCGGUAAGAACACCAGUGGCGAAGGCGACUUACUGGACACAUAUUGACGCUGAGGUGCGAAAGCGUGGGGAGCAAACAGG